ACUAGCCUGUGCAUCAAGGGACCAACGGAAGAUACUACAACGAUACUAACUAACUGAAUUUUUUCACUUAGCUGAGAUGUCUGCCACCAACAUGUUGCACUGGUACAAUUGGUACACAAGAUUAAUCUGAUCACAAGGAAUACUCUCCAUUUCUUCUUCAUUCACCAAUAAACUUCUCCAGUGUUGGUGGGCGAACUGUGUUGGCACUCGACUGGUACAAAACGUUGGGUCUUCGUGAAUGGCCUGAACACCAAGAGAUCCCACAACAUCAGCAUUUCAUGUGUAUAGUUUAGAGCCUCUACGAUCAUUGUUGGUGCGUACUGCUGAAUCGAGCCCUUGUUCAAUCAUUUAUCCUUCAGGAACAGGAACUUUUCUCCACUUCCUAGCUGCAACGAAGCCAAAGUACUAAAGUGAGCAUCUUCAGGGAAAGAGGUAAUCCCGUCUGGAGAAAGGACUCAAGUUUUGGACAUGUCUCUAUGUACAGAGACUCAAGAGAUGUGAGAUGCAUCAUGUUGGAUGGCAGUGAUCUCAGUUUUAGGCAGUCAGUGAAGCGAAGUUCCUCAAGUGAAGUGAGUUGUUGCAGCCAUUCCUUCUGAUCCAUGUUAAAAAUUUCCAGGUGGCUAGAUGAGAUAUCCAGCAUAUGAACAUUGGCUAGGCUGCUCGUUGGAAGACAGCUAAAGAGAAGUCCCAAGUGGUCCAGGGAGAGCUGAACAUGGAAGGACGUGUUGACAUUAGUUGUAUUUUCAGAUUCGCAACUGGUUAUCUUCUCAUACAUCGAGUUAGAUACAGAAAUUUGCAUUUUUUGGAGUGACUGUAAUGGUAAAGGGCCCAUCAACUGGGUACAUUUCUGAAUACAGAUGUCACGCAGACGUGGAAAUACUUGUUGGCUGGAAUCAAUACCUGACCAUCCUUUCCACUUUUCCAUGCCUUCAAAUAGAAGCUUUUCCAGUGAUGGAAAUGCCACUGCAGCAUCCCCAUAGAAUCCAGCAUCUAUAUUUUCCACUGCUGUUAAAUGCCUUAUCUUUAAUAUCCUCAGGAAUGGUAGGCUCCCAAAAGGUGGAAGAGUUUUCCAAUGAUGGCAGGAGAAUAAUUCAAUGCAGUGAAUGUUGGGCAAGUAUUUACAGGAUAGCCAAGAAGGAGAGUUGAUUCCCAUGUAACAUCUGACAGAAAGUUCUCUCAAGUUGGGAUUUGGUUGUAACCCUUCAAGCACGCCUUCAUGGUCGGUGUAGUUCAUGCUGUGUUUGUGAUGAUUCCAACAGAGUGUUAGCUUGUUCAGGUUUUCCUUCUUAACUAAUCCCGCCUCAGAUGAUUCUUCCCUGCAUCUCACAUUCUGAAGAUUCUUGAUGUUUAGCAUGCCUCUAAGUUCAUUCAACUCUUUUAGUUGACAUAUAUGAUGCUUCAUGUCACUCUUCACUUCGUACUCCUCUAAUUCCCUGAGGGAUGUUAGCCUGCCAAUCAAUUUUAUACCUGAAAUUAUUUCCUUUGGGGCCUUUAAAUAUCUUAACUGGGUCAACAUACUUAAGCCCUCUUGAAGUUCUUUUUUCACCAUCCUGCCUUCUUGAAUUUUCAGAUCCAGUCCAUUUAGAUGGUAGAGCUUGAACAUUGACUUGGGGACACUGAUAAAGCUUCCAUUUUCAUGGAUAUUUAGAUACCUAAGGUGGACCAAUUUAUCCAGAUUUUUUGGGAGUAUACCAUCAAGAUUGCUUAGUACUAAAACCCGUAAGCUUCUUAGCUGUUGGAGAGUCUCUUCAAGAACAUGGUUGAAGUUCGACGAUGUGAUCCCUCUGCGGGAAGUACCUUCUUCUGCCUUGCAUAUUAUUAAGCUUCUCACAUUCUUCUUCAACUCUUUGAAUUCUUGCAUACUUAUGAACACCUUAGAUAUAUUGCUUGCACUGACAUAUAUGUGGCGAACGUUUCUUGGAAUGCACACAUGGAAGUCAUCUUCUAUUCGGAAGUGUUCUCCAUUAGAGACUGACUCUGCAAAAUCAUGUAGCAAGUCAUGAACUACAUAGUGGUCCUCUUUGUUGGCUACCUUCUCAAUAAACGAAAGCUGCAAGAGAUCGUUGAUGUAACGAUAGGCAAUUUCAUCCGGUGUUUGUGUGCUAAGGAAACCAUGAGCCCUCCACAUCUGUAUGAGCACAUCUCCACGAAGGUGGUAUUUCUUAGGAAACAGUGCAAAGUAAACAAAGCAUUGCUUCAAAUGGUCAGGAAGAUGCUCAUAACUCAGUCCCAAUGCUGAUAUAAUAUCAUCUUCCUUUUGCUCUAAUUGCCAUAAUUUCCUCCUAGAGACAGCCCUCCAAUGAUUUUCUUCUAACUCAAGUUUCAGUGAAGCACCAACUGUCUUUGCUGCUAAAGGUGAUCCUGCCAACCUCUUCACCACUUGUUGACCAAUAUUUUCCAGCUGUGGAUAUUCAGAUGGAUUUGCAUCACCAAACGCACAUUCUGAGAAAUACCCCCAGUACUCUUCUUCUUCUAAUCCAUGCAAACUGCAGUGGCUUGCACAGGUUCUCUGAUUGGCUGCUCAGUUCAUUCCAUACAUCAUCAAGGACUACCAAAGCUCUUUUCCCAUUCAGCUUCUCCCGUAACAUCCUUUGAGCUUGAUCUAAACUACUGAUGCUGUUCAAGUCAGCAGACAUGCCGAGAUUAUCAGACUGAGCCAUCUCUUUUGUUAGACGUCCAACAUCGAAUUUAUCUGAGACAUGAAGCCAUACUGCAAAAUCAAAGUGACAGGUGACACGGAAAUGAUUAUACACUCUCUGUACUAACGCAGUCUUACCAACACCACCAAUACCAACAAUCGAUAUAACAUCAUAUGGCUGACUGGAUUGUUCAUUGAUCUGAACAAGUAAUUUCUUCAGGUGUUUUUCUUCAUUAACUCGACCAAAAAACUUUCUUGAGCCUGGUAUAGAGGUUGUCGUGCGCCACUGAACUGCCUGUUCUGGUCUGCUGUCCUCUAGCUUCACUAACCCCAGGAAUGUUUGCAUCGUACUAUCAAUAUCAGCAAACAAAUCCACUACAGAAAUCAACUCAUCGACAUCUUCAUCGGAGAAAAGGAAGCGUUUGAGAGCACAAGCCGACUGAUUUACUGUUGAGCCGCUGCUAGUGCUAGUAGUGGUAGAGACAGUGGUGAUGGUGGUUGUGGAUGAAGAAGAUGACCCAGCUGCGGCUGAAGCAACUGAGUUAGCCUUGCCCAUGUCUUCCGCUUCUGCUUGUAGAACUCGAUAGUCAAACAAAUCAAGAACAUCCUCAGCUUGACAUGCAGCAUCUUUGAUUCUCCUUAGCCAACUUCCCAUGACUGUGUUCUUCGCCUGCACUCUCUCAGCUAUGUGCGCCACUGUUUGUAUCGACGAUAGGUUCUUCUCUAAGAUUCUUAGUUUCUCCUUUGUGUCUUGCCGUUGGUAUUCAUACUGAUCGCCAGCAUAGGAGCACACCUUCUCAACCAGCUUUGUGAUGAGGGCUGAGGCCACCCAUCCUCCUAUUGCUGUAGCCAUUAAAGCUCAGAGGCAACAACUCGAAAGAUUUGUCAAAUGACGGUUUCAAGUCGCCACAUAAGAGAAAAAGGAAUGCUGGUUGGAAGAAAGUUAGCAUUUGGAUCCUGUCAAGAAGGAAUCUUAGUAUAAAGUAAUGCCAUAAUCUGAAACUUCCCCGAGCUGCAUCGUAUUGCUUUGUUUUUGCCAUAUUCUAAUGAAGGUUAGUAAACGUCGCUUUUAACUUUGCGUUUGCCAUUUUCCUUUGUCCUCUGUGUACCCGAUUAGUCUCUUUAUGGAUUUUCAAAUUCAGAUUGGACUAAUUGGAAAUAUCAGCUGCAUAAUGUAUGUACAUCACUUUGUUUCAUCAGUGACAAUUUGACAACACUAGGCCCGUAAUAAAACGGAAAAACUUAACUACACACCACUUUGUAUUAUGUGCCUGAAGGUGAUUGACAGUCAAUACACAUCUCUGCCGAUUUAU
This is a long non-coding RNA of Lolium rigidum, 3951 nucleotides long. RefSeq lists it as uncharacterized. The transcript is spliced from 3 exons. Lineage: Eukaryota; Viridiplantae; Streptophyta; Magnoliopsida; Poales; Poaceae. The record is from RefSeq and is a predicted model, not a curated record.